RNAcentral lists this ribosomal RNA (274 nucleotides) under uncultured bacterium. Its description in RNAcentral is "partial 16S ribosomal RNA". It matches the Rfam family "Bacterial small subunit ribosomal RNA", at positions 523 to 796 of the family's 1533-position model. The record is from RNAcentral.
AUACGGAGGGUGCAAGCGUUGUUCGGAAUCACUGGGCGUAAAGGGCGCGCAGGCGGUUUGGUAAGUCAGAUGUGAAAGCCCACGGCUCAACCGUGGAAGUGCAUUUGAAACUGCCAGACUUGAGUACCAGAGGGGAAAGUGGAAUUCCCGGUGUAGAGGUGAAAUUCGUAGAUAUCGGGAGGAAUACCGGUGGCGAAGGCGACUUUCUGGCUGGAUACUGACGUUGAGGCGCGAAAGCGUGGGGAGCAAACAGGAUUAGAAACCCUAGUAGUCC